UACGGGGGGGGCAAGCGUUGUUCGGAAUUACUGGGCGUAAAGGGCUCGUAGGCGGCCAACUAAGUCAGAUGUGAAAUCCCUCGGCUUAACCGGGGAACUGCGUCUGAUACUGGAUGGCUUGAGAUUGGGAGAGGGACGCGGAAUUCCAGGUGUAGCGGUGAAAUGCGCAGAUAUCAGGAGGAACACCGGUGGCGAAGGCGGGUCUCUGGGCAACAACUGACGCUGAGGAGCGAAAGCCAGGGGAGCGAACGGG
RNAcentral lists this ribosomal RNA (253 nucleotides) under uncultured bacterium. Its description in RNAcentral is "partial 16S ribosomal RNA". It matches the Rfam family "Bacterial small subunit ribosomal RNA", at positions 524 to 776 of the family's 1533-position model. The record is from RNAcentral.